AACAAUGUGGUCAAGAGUAUUGUAUUAGAGAAAGACCGUAUUGCAUUUGUAAUCCUAAACUGAAUAGGUUCUUUACCUCUUCUGAUUAGCUUGGGUAACCAUGAUAUGCUGCUAGGUGUCACUCAUGGUUUGUGGAAGCCCUAAACGUGUAUAAAUCACUAAAGGGAGAAUUGAAAGUAAGUUUCAAUUCACAAUCGAUUUUAAAGAGUUUUUAAUCGCCCACUGCCUCGCUAAAAUGAACCUAAUGGAUCGUACACCGUGUAAGGUGGAGAUUGAAGAAACAAUGGAGAUGAGUAAGAAUAAUUAAAU
This 309-nucleotide long non-coding RNA is filed under the name Malus domestica (apple). RNAcentral's name for it is "long non-coding RNA (MDOM_LNC010561)". Lineage: Eukaryota; Viridiplantae; Streptophyta; Magnoliopsida; Rosales; Rosaceae. The record is from RNAcentral.